This 255-nucleotide ribosomal RNA is filed under the name uncultured bacterium. Its description in RNAcentral is "partial 16S ribosomal RNA". It matches the Rfam family "Bacterial small subunit ribosomal RNA", at positions 524 to 776 of the family's 1533-position model. The record is from RNAcentral.
UACGGGGGGAGCAAGCGUUGUUCGGAUUUACUGGGCGUAAAGGGCGCGUAGGCGGCCACCGCAAGUCGGUUGUGAAAUCUCUGGGCUUAACCCAGAAAGGUCAACCGAUACUGCGGGGCUAGAGUGCAGAAGGGGCAACUGGAAUUCUCGGUGUAGCGGUGAAAUGCGUAGAUAUCAAGAGGAACACCUGAGGUGAAGACGGGUUGCUGGGCCGACACUGACGCUGAGUGCGCGAAAGCCAGGGGAGCAAACGGG